GAUGAAGAACGUAGCGAAAUGCGAUAAGUAGUGUGAAUUGCAGAAUUCAGUGAAUCACCGAAUCUUUGAACGCACAUUGCGCCCCUUGGUAUUCCAUGGGGCAUGCCUGUUCGAGCGUCAUUUGUACCUUCAAGCUCUGCUUGGUGUUGGGUGAUUGUCUAUCUUUAUAGACUCGCCUUAAAGUCAUUGGCAGCCGGCAUAUUGGCCUGGGAGCGCAGCACAAGUCGCGCUUCUUGUCAUGAAUGUUGGCGUCCAGUAAGUCUACAUAUUUUGCUCUUGACCUCGGAUCAGGUAGGGAUACCCGCUGAACUUAAGCAUAUCAAUAAGCGGAGGA
Molecule: unclassified non-coding RNA, 334 nt
Filed under: soil metagenome
Description: partial contains 5.8S ribosomal RNA, internal transcribed spacer 2, and large subunit ribosomal RNA
Rfam family: 5.8S ribosomal RNA (bases 1-120)
Source: RNAcentral